This 843-nucleotide ribosomal RNA is filed under the name uncultured organism. RNAcentral describes it as "bacterial SSU rRNA". It matches the Rfam family "Bacterial small subunit ribosomal RNA", at positions 33 to 876 of the family's 1533-position model. The record is from RNAcentral.
ACGCUAGCGGCAGGCCUAAUACAUGCAAGUCGAACGGCAGCGGGCCCUUCGGGAUGCCGGCGAGUGGCGGACGGGUGCGUAACGCGUAUGCAACCUACCCAUCACAGGGGGAUAGCCCGGGGAAACUCGGAUUAAUACCCCAUAAAGCAGGGGUUUCGCAUGGAACUAUUUGCUAAAGAUUUAUCGGUGAUGGAUGGGCAUGCGUCUGAUUAGUUAGUUGGUGAGGUAACGGCUCACCAAGGCGACGAUCAGUAGGGGGUCUGAGAGGAUGAUCCCCCACACUGGCACUGAGAUACGGGCCAGACUCCUACGGGAGGCAGCAGUAGGGAAUAUUGGUCAAUGGGCGAGAGCCUGAACCAGCCAUGCCGCGUGCAGGAAGACGGCCUUCUGGGUUGUAAACUGCUUUUCUACGGGAAUAAAAAGGUUCUGCGGGACAAAUUGCGUGUACCGUAGGAAUAAGCACCGGCUAACUCCGUGCCAGCAGCCGCGGUAAUACGGAGGGUGCAAGCGUUGUCCGGAUUUAUUGGGUUUAAAGGGUGCGUAGGCGGAUAAUUAAGUCAGGGGUGAAAGGCAUUGGCUCAACCAAUGAAUUGCCUUUGAUACUGGUUAUCUUAAGUUCAGUUGAGGUGGGCGGAAUUUAUGGUGUAGCGGUGAAAUGCAUAGAUACCAUAAAGAACACCGAUAGCGUAGGCAGCUCACUAAGCUGAAACUGACGCUGAGGCACGAAAGCAUGGGGAGCGAACAGGAUUAGAUACCCUGGUAGUCCAUGCUGUAAACGAUGAUCACUCGCUGUUGACCCUAGAUGGUCAGUGGCUUAGCGAAAGCGUUAAGUGAUCCACCUGG